AACUUUGUCCAAAAGUAUUUCCCCCUCAUAAUAGACAGUACGUGCAGCGAGUUGGUGCUCCGCCCCAAUUUAUUGGGGUGCUUGGCAUCUUAUUAUUCUCUGUAAUUAUUUUUUUCGUGAUUCAUUGAGGGGUAGAUCAAUCUGAAGUUUAUUCUUUGGAGGUCCUCUUAUAAGAACUCUUGUGGAUUGUACUCAGUCUUUGAGUACGCAUAUGAAUCAAGAGUGUCAGAAGACGACUAUAUAC
Molecule: small nucleolar RNA, 244 nt
Filed under: Huiozyma naganishii CBS 8797
Lineage: Eukaryota; Fungi; Ascomycota; Saccharomycetes; Saccharomycetales; Saccharomycetaceae
Source: RNAcentral